UUAAAUUUAAGAGAUGUAUGCUUACUUCUUUAUAACAUACAAGACAAAUCUGCUAUAGCUAGAGAACCGUGAAUAUACUUCUAUAAUUGAGACUUUAAGUUUCUAUUGCAAAGAGUUAAAACGAGAAAUAAGAAUACCUGCAACUGGAAGCAAUAGAGUGGAUAUCUCAGCCUCAACAUAAGCUGCAUCAUCAACAAAGAAGAGAAACAUAUUGAGGUGAAUAUCUCAGCAUCAACAUAAGUAGACAAUUGAAGUUACAGCAAGUACCCAGUAUCAUAUCACAUAGAGAAACGAUUAGAACACCUAAUAGAGACGAAGCAAGCAUAGAUAUGCAUCCAGGCUAAACGUUU
Molecule: long non-coding RNA, 350 nt
Filed under: Brassica napus (rape)
Lineage: Eukaryota; Viridiplantae; Streptophyta; Magnoliopsida; Brassicales; Brassicaceae
Description: long non-coding RNA (BNAP_LNC015145)
Source: RNAcentral